UACGGAAUGUGCAAACGUUAUUCGGAAUCACUGGGCUUAAAGAGUCCGUAGGCGGCUUGUUAGGUGAGGUGUGAAAUCCCCCGGCUCAACCGAGGAAUUGCGCUUCAAACCGGCAAGCUUGAGGAGGAUAGAGGUGGGCGGAACUGAUGGUGGAGCGGUGAAAUGCGUUGAUAUCAUCAGGAACACCGGAGGCGAAAGCGGUCCACUGGGUCCUUUCUGACGCUGAGGGACGAAAGCCAGGGGAGCGAACGGG
This 253-nucleotide ribosomal RNA is filed under the name uncultured bacterium. RNAcentral's name for it is "partial 16S ribosomal RNA". It matches the Rfam family "Bacterial small subunit ribosomal RNA", at positions 524 to 776 of the family's 1533-position model. The record is from RNAcentral.